Molecule: ribosomal RNA, 253 nt
Filed under: uncultured bacterium
Lineage: Bacteria
Description: partial 16S ribosomal RNA
Rfam family: Bacterial small subunit ribosomal RNA
Source: RNAcentral
UACGAAGGGGGCUAGCGUUGCUCGGAAUUACUGGGCGUAAAGGGCGCGUAGGCGGAUAGUUUAGUCAGAGGUAAAAGCCCAGGGCUCAACCUUGGAACUGCCUUUGUGACUGCAUGACUAGAGUACGGUAGAGGGGGAUGGAAUUCCGCGUGUAGCAGUGAAAUGCGUAGAGAUGUGGAGGAACACCGAUGGCGAAGGCAGCCCCCUGGGUCAAGAUUGACGCUCAUGCACGAAAGCGUGGGGAGCAAACAGG